RNAcentral lists this ribosomal RNA (501 nucleotides) under uncultured bacterium. RNAcentral describes it as "bacterial SSU rRNA". It matches the Rfam family "Bacterial small subunit ribosomal RNA", at positions 29 to 524 of the family's 1533-position model. The record is from RNAcentral.
AGUGAACGCUGGCGGCAGGCCUAACACAUGCAAGUCGAACGGCAGCACGGCAGUAGCAAUACUGUGGGUGGCGAGUGGCGGACGGGUGAGGAAUACAUCGGGAUCUACCCUGUUGUGGGGGAUAACGUAGGGAAACUUACGCUAAUACCGCAUAAGAACUGAGGUUGAAAGCGGCGGACCGCAAGGCGUCGCGCGAUUGGAUGAACCGAUGUCCGAUUAGCUAGUUGGCGGGGUAAAGGCCCACCAAGGCGACGAUCGGUAGCUGGUCUGAGAGGACGACUAGCCACACUGGAACUGAGACACGGUCCAGACUCCUACGGGAGGCAGCAGUAGGGAAUAUUGGGCAAUGGACGGAAGUCUGACCCAGCCACGCCGCGUGCAGGAGGAAGGCGCUCUGCGUUGUAAACUGCUUUAGCAGGGGAAGAAAAGACUCAUGCGUGAGGAAUUGACGGUACCCUGAGAAUAAGCACCGGCUAACUACGUGCCAGCAGCCGCGGUAAU